This 73-nucleotide transfer RNA is filed under the name Mustela putorius furo (domestic ferret). It matches the Rfam family "tRNA". Rfam says of the family: Transfer RNA (tRNA) molecules are approximately 80 nucleotides in length. Their secondary structure includes four short double-helical elements and three loops (D, anti-codon, and T loops). Lineage: Eukaryota; Metazoa; Chordata; Mammalia; Carnivora; Mustelidae. The record is from Rfam by way of RNAcentral.
ACCUGGCUGGCUCAAUCAGUGGAGCACGGGACUCUUGAUCUCAGAGUCGUGAGUUCAAACCACAUGCCAGAUG